This 445-nucleotide ribosomal RNA is filed under the name uncultured bacterium. RNAcentral describes it as "partial 16S ribosomal RNA". It matches the Rfam family "Bacterial small subunit ribosomal RNA", at positions 354 to 796 of the family's 1533-position model. The record is from RNAcentral.
GUGAGGAAUAUUGGUCAAUGGUCGGAAGACUGAACCAGCCAUGCCGCGUGCAGGAAGACGGUCCUAUGGAUUGUAAACUGCUUUUAUUCGGGAAUAAACCUCUUUACGUGUAGGGAGCUGAAGGUACCGAAGGAAUAAGCACCGGCUAACUCCGUGCCAGCAGCCGCGGUAAUACGGAGGGUGCAAGCGUUAUCCGGAAUCAUUGGGUUUAAAGGGUCCGCAGGCGGGCUAUCAAGUCAGAGGUGAAAUCCCACAGCUUAACUGUGGAACUGCCUUUGAAACUGAUGGUCUUGAAUUAAGUGGGCGUUGGCGGAAUAUGACAUGUAGCGGUGAAAUGCAUAGAUAUGUCAUGGAACACCGAAAGCGAAGGCAGCUAACGAUACUUAUAUUGACGCUCAUGGACGAAAGCGUGGGUAGCGAACAGGAUUAGAUACCCCGGUAGUCC